Onychomys torridus (southern grasshopper mouse) is the source of this 1954-nucleotide RNA transcript. It is a transcript of the gene named suppressor of cytokine signaling 1, with no coding region annotated. The record is from RefSeq and is a predicted model, not a curated record. NCBI's taxonomy places the organism in Eukaryota, Metazoa, Chordata, Mammalia, Rodentia, Cricetidae. The transcript is spliced from 3 exons.
CGGCUCCGAGGCUCCAGGGGAGGGCGGCGGCCUCGCCAGGCUCCAGGACUGCCUAGCCAGGCUCCAAGAUGGGCCAAGACUGCCAAGGCCUUCGGGUCCUGGGCGGGAAGGACCCUGGCAGGGAGGAGCUUCUUAGGGGAGCGCAGGCUUCAGGCGAGGCGGAGCCCAGACUAGGAGGACGCAGACACCAGGAGGGGAGGAGGCGUGUCAGCGCCGCGUGAGCAUCCCACCCGGCCGGCUGCCGGGAUGUGCGGCGAAGGUGGCAAGAGCAAAAGAGCGGUCCUAAGGUGGCCAUCCCAGACUCCGACCAGAAGAUUCGGGGAGGAGCCAGAACCCCAGGAUGCCGAGGUCCCAAUCAAGCAGGUGCGAGACAAGACCGAGCCUAGGGACAGGAUCAGCAUCUUCUCUACAGAGAAAGCUGCAUGAGGCCAGAGAGUGGACCCGAAAGACUCGCCGGAAAGAGAAACCGAAAGCGGCGGUGGGCGGGACCGGUGGGCGGGGCCUCUGCCAGUUUUAAGAGUCUGAUGCAGGGGCGGGCAGCAAUAGAGCGAGCUGCGGCCGUGGCAGCUGCACGGCUCCCGGCCCCGGAGCAUGCGCGACAGCCGCCCCGGAGCCUCCAGCCGCGGCGCCCCGCGUCCCGCCGCCAGGUGAGCCGGGGCGGCGGAGGAGGCGGCGGGAGGGGAUGGGAGUAAGGGGAGCAGAGCCCGAUAGGACGAGCCUCGCCGAGUGCGUGGUGGGGUCGUGGAUGCCACGCCUCUGGCGCCCUCCCGCCCCACCGGCUCGCCCAGGCGGGCCCCGGCGCGCGUGGGGUGUCGGCUGCGCCUCUUCUCCGGCCCGGAGCCAUCUCCCGCUCGGGUUCCAGUCCCCGGCGUGGCCAGCAGGCGGCAGCCGCUGGGCGGCGAGCCACCAGCGGGGACGGCCCGGAGUCGGGCCCCUCUCCACGCCCCCUUCUCCACGCGCGCGGGGAGGCUGGGCUCCACAGCCAGCCUGGAAGGGUUCCACGUACGGGAACGGCCUACUUCGCAGAUGAGCCCACCGAGGCUCAGAGGCUCCGGGCGGAUUCCGCGUUCCGCCCUGGCUCCUUGGGGUUCUCUGGCCGGCCAGCGCCACCCGGACGCCCGGCUCACUGCCUCUGUCUCCCCCAUCAGCGCAGCCCCGGACGCUAUGGCCCACCCCUACGACUGGCCCCUCGUAUAGGAUGGUAGCACGCAACCAGGUGGCAGCUGACAAUGCGAUCUCCCCGGCAGCAGAGCCCCGACGGCGGCCAGAAUCCUCGUCAUCCUCGUCUUCGUCCUCGCCGGCUGUCCCCGCGCGUCCGCGGCCCUGCCCUGCGGUCCCGGCUCCGGCCCCUGGCGACACACACUUCCGCACGUUCCGCUCCCACUCUGAUUACCGACGAAUCACGCGGACCAGCGCGCUCUUGGACGCCUGCGGCUUCUACUGGGGACCCCUGAGCGUGCACGGGGCGCACGAGCGGCUGCGUGCCGAGCCCGUGGGCACCUUCCUAGUGCGCGACAGUCGCCAACGGAACUGCUUCUUCGCACUCAGCGUGAAGAUGGCUUCGGGCCCCACGAGCAUCCGCGUGCACUUCCAGGCCGGCCGCUUCCACCUGGACGGCAGCCGCGAGACCUUCGACUGUCUCUUCGAGCUGCUGGAGCACUACGUGGCGGCGCCGCGCCGCAUGUUGGGGGCCCCGCUGCGCCAGCGCCGCGUGCGGCCGCUGCAGGAGCUGUGUCGCCAGCGCAUCGUGGCCGCCGUGGGUCGCGAGAACCUGGCGCGCAUCCCUCUUAACCCGCCGAAAUAAAACAGAAAAGCGAACGGAACACAGAGCCAAAGGAUGGAAGAACGAAGAACAAAAUAAACCAGGCAACAUGAAGAAUGGGGUGGAGAGCAGAGGAGACACAGGUUCCUUCCUGGUCCUUCGGAGCUUAUAUGCUGGCUUCCAGUCUGAGCA